Non-coding RNA from Oryza glumipatula, 208 nucleotides. The record is from Rfam. NCBI's taxonomy places the organism in Eukaryota, Viridiplantae, Streptophyta, Magnoliopsida, Poales, Poaceae.
ACAAACCCUGAAUUUCUAUUUCUAUGUCCAACGUUUGACUUUACGUCUUAUAUGAAAUUAUUUUUAUAAUUAAUAUUUUCAUUGUUGUUAGAUGAUAAAAUAUGAUUAAUAUUUUAUACGUAACUUGUCUUUUUAAUUAUUUUUAUAAUUUUUUUAAAUAAGACGGACGGUCAAACGUUGAACAUGGAAACUCAUGAUUUGUCUGAUU